Long non-coding RNA from Homo sapiens (human), 1420 nucleotides. Lineage: Eukaryota; Metazoa; Chordata; Mammalia; Primates; Hominidae. The record is from Ensembl.
GGGAAGGGGCGGCUCUCGAGUAGCCGGUAGAGCUCGGCGUACUCGCCCCGCUGGAAGGCCACCAGGGCCCGCGCGCGCAACACCGGGUCGCUGCCACGUAGGCGCUCGGCCGGGGGCAGUGCGCCCAGGAAGCGGCUCAAGCGGCCGGCGUGGCCCGCCUGGAGCAGCGCCUCGCAGACGCACGCCACCUGCUCGGGCGAGAAGCGGAGGCCCGUGGGCGGUUCGGAAGCGGCCUCGGGGGGCGACCCGGGGACGCCCGGGGAUCCCGGGCCCUCAGCUCCCGCAGCCGCUGCGCCCGCCCCGGCCCCGGCCGCCGCCGCCGCCUCACCCUCGGCCGCCUGCAAAGUCUGCAAGAGCUGGCGCGCUUCCUCCUCCUCCUCUUCGGUCGCCGCCGCCGCCGCCACCGCCUCCCCCCCAGCCGCCGGCCCCGCGCUCGGCUCCGCAGGCAAGGUAGCCAUGUUUUGCAACUUUGGGAAGUUCCUCCCUCCCUCUCUUCCUCCCUCGGGCUUUCCCCAGCCUCCUCCCCCACCUGUCCCCCCUUUUCGCCCCCACUCCCCGCUCUUCUCGAUCUUCUUUCUGGCCGACCCUGCGCCCCACGCCGGGAAGGCGAGAUCCAGCUCUCCACUCGGGUCUCUGUCCCCUUGUGUGUGUCCGUCCCCCUCCCGUCUGUCUGUGAUUCUCCCUUUGUUUUCCCUCCGCCUCUGGCCGCGCUUUCUGCCUCCCCCCAGCGUGUGCUUCUGGCUCAGGGCCUCAGUUUCCCCAUCGGGACAACGCAGAAGGUAACGGGCCGUCCAGGAGGACUAAGGGCGCGAAGCCUCCGCCCCGAGACUGAGCUUCUGCACGCCUCCGUCUCCAGGGUCCUCUGCAGGCCCCCACAUUCCCCAUCUCGGCCUGCGCUCCGCCCCUCGGAAUUCCCGGCUCCGCAGGGGGGGCGGGUCUGGCCGGGAGGAGGGGCGGGGAACGGGCUAGAAAGUUUGCAGCAACUUUUCUCGAGCUUGCGUCCCAGGAGCGGAUGCGCGUGGCGUGCGCAGGCGCAGUGGAAGGAGGAUGGCCGCGCGCGCUGCCAGCCCAGCCCCCUCUUCUCGACGCUCGGUGGCACAGCUGGGCCACAGCUGGGCGGGGGCGGUGCCUCCGGGUGGCCCGCUCGCCCUCCUAUUGGCCGGACGCCAAAGCCCCGCCCCGUGGCUUUUCCUCCCCCAACCCUGAUUCGGCCGCUUCGCAUCCCGCUAGCUCCUCCCAGACCUUCGGCCGCCUCCACACGCCUCCGGAUUGGCCCGCUGCGGAGCCUCCGGCCCACAACGCAAACCGCGGACACUGUGGAGUCCAGAGCUUUGGGCAGAUGGAGGGCCUUUUAUUCGCGAGGGUCGGGGGUGGGGGUCCUAGGUGGGGACAGACAAUAAAUACCGAGGAAUGUCGGGGU